Macaca fascicularis (crab-eating macaque) is the source of this 1849-nucleotide long non-coding RNA. The record is from Ensembl. Lineage: Eukaryota; Metazoa; Chordata; Mammalia; Primates; Cercopithecidae.
UUUUUUUUUUUUUUUUUUUUUUUUGAGGCAGAGUCUUGCUCUGUCACCUAGGCUGGAGUGCAGUGGCACAAUCUUGACUCACUGCAACCUCCGCCUCCUGGGUUCAAGCAAUUCUCCUGUCUCAGCCUCCCGAGUAUCUGGAAUUACAGGUGCACACCACCACGCCCAGCUAAUUUUUUAUUUUGAGUAAAGGUGGGAUUUUGCCAUGUUGGCCAAGCUGGUCUCGAACUCCUGACCUCAGGUGAUUCACCUGCCUGGGCCUCCCAAAGUGCUGGGACUACAGGCAUGAGCCACCACACCUGGCCUGUUGCCCAUUUUUAAGUAGACAGUUAUUCUGCAUGCUCAACAAAUAAUGCAGACUGAGCUUUCAUGUUUAGAGUUAGACUCAAUUUCAUAAAAGAGUGAAGUUGAUCUUCCCUGUUUAAUGACAGUCAUAAUUAUUCUUGGGCUGCAUAGCAAUUAAGCAUAACUAAAUAGUAAACAGGUCUCCCCCUGCCUAAUUUAAAAAUUAUAAAGCUCCACUACUGCAUACUAGGCAUUGUGAUUGGUGUUGAGGAUGUCAGGAUGAAGGCCAAGAAGAGCCUGCACACUUCAGAAGACUUCGUAUGUACCAGGCACUGUGCUGAGGACUUUCCAUGCCUUAAUUUAUUGAAUCCUCACAGAAGGCUUUGCAGAUUCUGUUUUCCAAAGAUGAUCACAACAAUAUCAUCAUACACCUUCCUAAUCCAGUGGUGGAGUUUAUUUCAGCAUCCCCUUCAAUGUGGGCAGGCCCUGACUGGUAGCACACAGAGGGAGUAAUGAUGUUCAGUUCCAGGCGUAGUCCUCAUCUGUCUUGGCAGCUUCUUCUUGCUUCCUGGAAUACCUACUCUGCAAUGUUUCCUCUCAGAACCCAGCUAUCAUGCUCUGAGAAGCCCAAGCCAUGUGGAGAGGCCACACGUGGACAUUCCAGUGACAGCCCUCACUGAUCUCCCAUCCAACUGCCAGCAUCAGCUGUCAGCCAUGUGAGAGCCAUCUCGGAUGUCCAACCCAGCUGAGCCUUCAGAUGACUGUAUCCCCAGCUGCAUUCUGACUACAACAGCAUGAGACUCCAGAUGAGAACCACCCGGCUGAGCCCAGUCAAAUCACAGAACCAUGAGAGAUAACAAUAGAUUAUUUUAAGCCACAAACCUUUGUGUUGCUUUGAUUUGCAGCAGAAAAUAAUUGGAUUAGGAAACAUACGUAUGAGUUUUCAUCCCCAUUGGGACAGAUGGGAAAGCGUGACCCAUCUGUCCCAUCUGGGUUUAGAAAUUUCCCGACUCCACAGAGCUGGUAGGUGGCAGAUUUAGGAUUUAAACCCAAGGCAGCAUGACCCUGACUGCCGAGUUUCCACACAUGACUUCUUCUUUCUAUGAGCUCCCAGUCUCAAAAGAGUCAGCCAAGACUUAAGUGAGAUAUGUCACACACACUUCCAGUGUGGGCAGAGGGCUGGGUGCACAUACAGGAGUGAGGUAGCUCACCCACAUUUGCCAUAUUAUCUUGCCACCUAUCUAGCCUCAGGUAGCACCUCCCACUUCUUUGGACCUCAUGCUUAAGCCUGCAUGAACUUCAUACCCUCUAAUCUGUCAUGCCCAAGUACUUACCUGGAACUCUCCUCUCUACCCACCCAAGGCUGGUUAACACAUCUUUAUCCUUCAGUAUGCAGCUAAGAUGGCCCCUCCUUCGGGAAGCCUUCCCUGACUUCCCCAUCACAUCCCUGACAGGGUAAGGUAUCACGCCAUGGGCUCCCAUAGUACCCCACUUUUAUCAUUAGCAUUUAUCAUACAUAUUGCCUGUUUUCUCAGUCUGGGCAAAGAACAUGUACUCAUGUGCC